This 195-nucleotide ribosomal RNA is filed under the name uncultured bacterium. RNAcentral's name for it is "partial 16S ribosomal RNA". It matches the Rfam family "Bacterial small subunit ribosomal RNA", at positions 1307 to 1500 of the family's 1533-position model. The record is from RNAcentral.
GCAACUCGCCUACACGAAGUCGGAAUCGCUAGUAAUCGCGGAUCAGCAUGCCGCGGUGAAUACGUUCCCGGGCCUUGUACAUACCGCCCGUCACACCAUGGGAGUUUGUAACGCCCAAAGUCGGUGGCCUAACCUUUAUGGAGGGAGCCGCCUAAGGCGGGACAGAUGACUGGGGUGAAGUCGUAACAAGGUACC